Transfer RNA from Ipomoea nil (Japanese morning glory), 73 nucleotides. It matches the Rfam family "tRNA". From Rfam's summary of the family: Transfer RNA (tRNA) molecules are approximately 80 nucleotides in length. The record is from Rfam. Lineage: Eukaryota; Viridiplantae; Streptophyta; Magnoliopsida; Solanales; Convolvulaceae.
GCUUGUCUAGCUCAAUUAGUAGAGUGUAAAGCUUUUAACCUUGUUGUUGUGGGUUCAAGCCCCACGAUGGGUG